This 468-nucleotide ribosomal RNA is filed under the name uncultured bacterium. RNAcentral's name for it is "partial 16S ribosomal RNA". It matches the Rfam family "Bacterial small subunit ribosomal RNA", at positions 28 to 507 of the family's 1533-position model. The record is from RNAcentral.
GACGAACGCUGGCGGCGUGCUUAACACAUGCAAGUCGAACGGUGAAGCCCUUCGUGUGGGGGCAGUUGCGAACGGGAGCGUAACACGUACGCAAGCGUCACCUGCCCCUGACACAACCAUUACAUACGGUAACUGGUACCGAUUACGGCCAGCCUCUCCAUCUGGAGGGGGUGGGAAGGUUUGCUUCUGCGGUUGGGGAUGGACUCGCGGCGUAUCAGCUUGUUGGUGGGGCAGUGGCUUACCAAGGCUGUGACGGGUAGCCGGCCUGAGAGGGUGACCGGCCACAAUGGGACUGAGAUACGGCCCAGACUCCUACGGGAGGCAGCAGUGGGGAAUAUUGCACAAUGGGCGGAAGCCUGAUGCAGCGACGCCGCGUGAGGGAUGACGGCCUUCGGGUUGUAAACCGCUUUCGGCUGUGAAGAAGCGAAAGUGACGGUAGUGGCAGAAGAAGCACCGGCUAACUACGUG